RNAcentral lists this ribosomal RNA (492 nucleotides) under uncultured bacterium. Its description in RNAcentral is "partial 16S ribosomal RNA". It matches the Rfam family "Bacterial small subunit ribosomal RNA", at positions 29 to 507 of the family's 1533-position model. The record is from RNAcentral.
AGUGAACGCUGGCGGUACGCCUAACACAUCCAAGUCGAACGGCAGCACAGUAAGAGCUUGCUCUUACGGGUGGCGAGUGGCGGACGGGUGAGGAAUACAUCGGAAUCUACUUUUUCGUGGGGGAUAACGUAGGGAAACUUACGCUAAUACCGCAUACGACCUACGGGUGAAAGCAGGGGAUCUUCGGACCUUGCGCGAUUGAAUGAGCCGAUGUCGGAUUAGCUAGUUGGCGGGGUAAAGGCCCACCAAGGCGACGAUCCGUAGCUGGUCUGAGAGGAUGAUCAGCCACACUGGAACUGAGACACGGUCCAGACUCCUACGGGAGGCAGCAGUGGGGAAUAUUGGACAAUGGGCGCAAGCCUGAUCCAGUCAUACCGCGUGGGUGAAGAAGGCCUUCGGGUUGUAAAGCCCUUUUGUUGGGAAAGAAAAGCAGCAGGUUAAUACCCCGCUGUUCUGACGGUACCCAAAGAAUAAGCACCGGCUAACUUCGUG